RNAcentral lists this non-coding RNA (27 nucleotides) under Mus musculus (house mouse). The record is from RNAcentral. Lineage: Eukaryota; Metazoa; Chordata; Mammalia; Rodentia; Muridae.
CAACAUGACCGAGAUGAGCUUCCUGAA